RNAcentral lists this small nuclear RNA (107 nucleotides) under Panthera tigris altaica (Amur tiger). Lineage: Eukaryota; Metazoa; Chordata; Mammalia; Carnivora; Felidae. The record is from RNAcentral.
GUGCUCGCUUCGGCAGGACAUAUACUAAAAUUGGAACGAUACAGAGAAGAUUAGCAUGGCCCCUGCACAAGGAUGACAUGCAAAUUCGUGAAGCGUUCCAUAUUUAA